This 301-nucleotide ribosomal RNA is filed under the name uncultured bacterium. RNAcentral's name for it is "partial 16S ribosomal RNA". It matches the Rfam family "Bacterial small subunit ribosomal RNA", at positions 509 to 807 of the family's 1533-position model. The record is from RNAcentral.
CAGUAGCCGCGGUAAUACGAAGGGGGCUAGCGUUGCUCGGAAUGACUGGGCGUAAAGGGCGCGUAGGCGGCGGCCAAAGUCAGGCGUGAAAUUCCCGGGCUCAACCUGGGGGCUGCGUUUGAUACUUGGUUGCUUGAGUGGGGAAGAGGGUCGUGGAAUUCCCAGUGUAGAGGUGAAAUUCGUAGAUAUUGGGAAGAACACCGGUGGCGAAGGCGGCGACCUGGUCCUUUACUGACGCUGAGGCGCGAAAGCGUGGGGAGCAAACAGGAUUAGAUACCCCCGUAGUCCCUGUCUCUUAUAC